Molecule: unclassified non-coding RNA, 208 nt
Filed under: uncultured bacterium
Lineage: Bacteria
Description: 16S-23S ribosomal RNA intergenic spacer
Source: RNAcentral
AGCUUGGUAACGGGUUGGCCGUGGGUGUCGAUGCAUCCCUGGCCGAGUGAAGUCUUUAGUGGUGCCCGCUGCAUGGUUGGCGGGUUAGAUUGCGAGCGUGUUGCCCGCGAUUUGCUCUUUAAAAAAUCGGAAGGUCGUCCAGCAGCAUUGAACGAGUCAGAAAUGACUCAUCGCAAGAAUAUAAAUCGAUUGCAUUCGCACAACUACC